CCCUUAGAUGUUCGGGGCCGCACGCGCGCUACACUGAAGGAAUCAGCACGUCUUUCUCCUUGUCCGAAAGGACUGGGUAACCCGCUGAACCUCCUUCGUGCUAGGGAUUGGGGCUUGUAAUUCUUCCCCAUGAACGAGGAAUUCCCAGUAAGCGCGAGUCAUAAGCUCGCGUUGAUUACGUCCCUGCCCUUUGUACACACCGCCCGUCGCUACUACCGAUUGGAUGGUUUAGUGAGAUCCUCGGAUUGGUCCCGGCGCGGCCUCUGGUCGUGCCGGAGUGCCGAAAAGAAUGUCAAACUUGAUCAUCUAGAGGAAGUAAAAGUCGUAACA
RNAcentral lists this ribosomal RNA (330 nucleotides) under uncultured eukaryote. Its description in RNAcentral is "partial 18S ribosomal RNA". It matches the Rfam family "Eukaryotic small subunit ribosomal RNA", at positions 1470 to 1796 of the family's 1831-position model. The record is from RNAcentral.